UGAUGAUUCUUAUAGACAACACUCUUGUUUUCAUGGAGUUUAGAGAUAAUAAUCAGACAGUAAGCAAACGUAAAUAAAUAAAAAGCACAUUGUGAUAGGUUCUAUACAAGGAAUUAAAGCAAAGUGAUAUAAUGAGAUUGAUGUGUAUGGAGAGGGUUACAUUUUAUUGGGUGUUCAUGAGAGACUUCGUUGGGGUAUGAUAUUUAAGCCCAGCUAUAAGCUGACAAGAAAAACUGCAUGUGAAGUCAGGGAAGAAAAAGUUCAGAAGAUAAAAUAGCUAUGACAAAGGCCUUUGGGCAGAAAUGGAAAGAGUGCCUCAGCUGGAACAGCAUGGCUAAGGAAGCAUUCGAACAUGGAAUAAAUAAGGAGAGGAAGUCCUACAACCUCAAGGAGUUGAAUUCUGUCAUCAACCAGUUGGGUUGGAAGAGAACCCAGAGCUGAUACGAGAGUGCAAUCUGGGCACACACCUUGAUUUCAGCCUGGUAAGGCUCUAAGCAAAGGACCCAGCUAAAGUUUAUCCAGACUCAUGACCAAAUGAAAACCUUGCAGUUUAAACAGAUGCGUGUUUUACAUUGCUAAGGUGGUGAUUUGUUAUAUAGCAAUAGAAAAUUAAUGCAUCCAGUUUCAAGUUUCGUUUAUAAAUCUUUCCUUGUUUACAUUCUUUCUUAAAGGCUAACAACUGUAAUUAUAAUAUCUCUGUUAAAUUAAAAUAAUCUUUGGGAACAUCAAACAUGUAAUAGGUAAUAUCUUUAGGGGUCACUGAUGUGUGUUCAACUUUCCAGUUGUGCUACAAUAAUUGGACCUAUAUGAAAGGACUUUUCAUUUUUUUUAAAUUAAUUUUCAUAGUUUUGUUUUCCCUAUUAUUUAUUAUUAUUGUUGCUAUUGGUGUGCACGCCUGAUUCUUGUAGCCAAUUAUAUAUCGGUAUGCUCUAAUCUGUUAUGAGUCGGGAGACUAGAGGACCAGGCUUUUUGUAUUGGGUCUACAAUGAGAAUACCUAGGCUAUAAACUACGUUAUGACAGUGUAUGAUGAAAUUAAGCUAUCCUUUUUGUUUUCUCAGUACUUCUCAGUAUUUAAAGUCAUCAGAAAAAAAUGACAUUUGUUUAAAUAAAAAGACACAAUUGUAAGAAUACCAGUUGGUUGUUGAUAUUUUAGGUUAUUUCUUUAAAAAUUAUGAUUGCCUGUUCUCUACAUUAAAAGAACAUUGCUGGGCAGAAUAACUGGAUUCAAGGUAAUGUCUUUGUCUUCACAUAGUCUUUACUCUCAAGUGACUCCAGUGAGUCAGCAAAACAUGUGUGGGCUUCAGAAAGAACGAUUCCACCAUAAUUUGCAAAUUAGAACAGUGGGAUAUGCUAUGUACUACUUUCCAAGUCUGCACUUCACAUAUCAUUUUAAUGACCCAUCAAUAGAAAAUACGUGUCAUGAUUUAUCUUUCCAGUCAUGGCAAUUUAGGUAAAAGGUUGGAAAAAUACCUAUACGAAUAGUGGUAUUAGAAAGGAACAGGGACAAAGAUAAGCUAGGGUUACCUUUUGAAAAAAAAUGGGGAGAAUCUUGACAAAAGAUUACUGGGAAGCAUCAAAUUUCAAGUAUUUAAAUCUUUAAAAUGCAUCCUCAUAGUUUCAUAUUGUCUUUUUUUUUCCUUUCUAUGUACUCUCUGGACCAAACAGGGUAUGUCUGUCUGAAUAACUCCAUGACUUACUCAGGAACUCAAACGAGAAAGCAAAUGACAACAAAAAUACUUUCUUUCAGUAAUCAUGGAAGCACAGGGUUUUGGUAAGUUAUCACACAUAAUUUAAAGAAAAUCUGAGUGCAAAACAACCUUAUUUUAAACUAUAAUGUGGUCACUUUCUCCUCAGUUCUUGACUAUGGCUUCCCCCAUAGAUUUUGAUUUUCUUUCACUCAUCAUGUCCUAUUUAUUUGCAAGGUUAAAUUUUAUAAUAGUCUAAAUUUUAUUAACAUUUAAAAAUAUGAUUACCUCUCAGGAUUAUCAUUAUUACAAUAUCAUUCUUAAAUUACACCACACAGAUUAGAAAAAGAAUAAUCUGGCACACAGAGUCAGAUUGAGGUUCAGAUUUUGACCUUAACACUUAUAUAAUUUGUGGCCUCAGUUUUUGUGAUGGUUAAUAUUGAGUGUCAACUUGACUGGAUUGAAGGAUGCAGAAUAGUGCUCCUAGGUGUGUCUGCAAAGAUGUUGCCAAAGGAGAUUAACAUUUGAGUCAGUGGAAUGGGAGAAGCAGACCCACCUGCAAUCUGGGUAGGCACCAUCUAAUCAGCUGCCAAUGCAGCUAGAAUAAAGCAGGCAGAAGAAGGUAGAAAGGGCAGACUUGCUGAGUCUUCCAGCUUUCAUCCUUCUCCCAUGCUGGUUGUUUCCUGCCCUCAAACAUCAGACUCCUAGCUCUUCAGCUUCUGGACCCUUGGACAUAUACCAGUGGUUUGCCAGGGGGGUCUUGGGCCUUCAGCCACAGACUGAAAGCUGCACUGUUGGCUUCCCUACUUUUGAGAUUUUGGGGCUCAGACUGGCUUCCUUGCUCCUCAGCUUGCAGAUAGCCUAUUGUGGGACUUCACCUUGUGAUCCUGUGAGUCAAUACUCCUUAAUAAACUUCCCUUCAUAUACACAUCUAUCCUACUAGUUCUGUCCCCCUAGAGAACCAUGACUAAUACAGUCUGCUUAUAUGUAAAAUAGAAGUAAUGACUAACCAAAUUUUACUGAAUGUCUAAAAGUUACUUAAAAUGUGAAACCAGCCCAGUUGUCCAAUAGAAAUGAUGUUUAUAGAUUUUAGAAUAAACACAGAAAUGGACCCUUUUGGUCUUGAAACUCGAAACUUGUAUUUGUCUCAUCUGACUUCCUUCCUCAGGAAGCUGACUCACAGGCAAGGGACUAAAACCACAUCCAGAGAGUGAGAUGUCAGACUCCUCAUUCAUUAUUACUACUCCCGUACCCCUCCCUAAUUUCUUUCAACACUGUAGUGACAUUUCUUCUCCUGCUAUAUAAAUACCCCAAUUUUAGUUGCUCAGAGAGGUGAAUGUGAGAUUAUUCUUCUGUUCUCCCAUUUGACAUCACCCGAAUAAAAAAGCUUUCUUUCCUGACAAUACUUGUUGUCUCAGUGAUUGGCUUCCUGUGCCAGUAGCAACGGGACCUGGACCAAAUGUGGGGUUUCCAUAACAACUAUAGCUUUUCUCCAACAGUAUACAGGCCAGGUGUGGUGGCUCAUGCCUAAAGCCCAGCACAUUGAGAGGCCAAAACAGGAGGAUCUCUUGAGCCCAAGAGUUCAAGGCUGCAGUGAGCCAUGAUUAUGUCACUGCAGUCUAGCCUGGGAAAGAGUGAGGCCGUGUCUCAAUCAAUCGAUCAAAAUAAAAUGGUACAUAUCAUUUCCCUCUUCAAAUCUAUUACUUCUCCAAAAUUUCUCUUUUAGUAAGGUACAAAACAGUCUACAUAGUUUUCCAAAUAAUAAAUCAGAAGUCAUAAUUAAUUCCUGGACCAAAUUACCCCUGGACUGGGCCAAUCUAAACAUCCAGUCACCCAGGUCUGAUAAUGUUCCACCUGGACACAUCCUAAAAAUCCCCUCCUCUUCCCUUCCUCCUCUGCCACCUCAUAGUAUGGGCCACAACUCUAUUUCAUGCAAACUGCUCUUUACCCCCUUUACUGAUCUGGCUGCCUCUAGCCUUGCUCCUCUCAUAUCCAUUCUCCACUCUGCUGCCAUAGUAAUUCUAAAAAUGCCUCCAUGAUUGUGUGACUUUCCAGUUUAACACCCUUCAAAUAUUUCCCUUUGUUCUUGGAAUAGAAACAGACUCCUUAAAGUGGUUCACAGGGCAGCCUAUGAUCUGGCCCUUCCUCCCCUUCCAGCUUAUGUCUUGCAUUCUUUGUCUCUGUUAGCUCCGUGGACUCCCCAAGCUAUCUCUCCGAUCUGUUCCUUUACCUGGAAGACUCUGGUAUCUUCUUUAUCUGGCUAAAUCUUACGCAUAUUCAGGUUUCUAUUAUCAAUUCUUCCACAGGGUUUUUAUGAUGCCAACUUAGGCCUACAUCACCCUGCAUUCUCAAGAAACACUUAUUAAAUUACUUGUUACUUAUAAAAAUUACUUAUAAAAUUGUUUAUUAAAAGUCACUCUUCCCCAUUAGUAUAUGGGGAUAAAUAUGAUGGCAGCUGAGAGAGAACAGAAGAGGGGAGAAAAUCAGGAUUUUGAGGCCGUGGCGUCUACAGAAAAAGCUGUGCAGUAACCUCCUUCCCCUCCUCCUCUUGCCCCACAGGGAAGAGUAUUGCACCUGUCCUCAUCUCAAAUCCAGUGAGGGAGGUUUCCACUGUGCUAUGUGGAGUAUAUGUGCUAUGUAGGGAGUUUAUUAUAUGACCUAUGUAAUAGGAGAGAAGUGGAAAAAUAUAGCAUAACUCCCACCUAAGAAAUUUGGAGAGUAAGAACAGGUUAAUCAUUUUUGUGGUGGAAACAGCCUGCCUUCUCUCUGUGUCUGAGUAAAGCAUGCAUGAAGGUUUUUGCUGGAACAGAUGUAGGCCACAUAGGAUAAAAAGAAGAGGUCUGGGACCAUUUUAAGUUCUGUUUCAGAAAACAACCUGGAAAGGAGAAGAAUGCUUAAGAACCAAGAUUGAGUGGAAAAAGCUACCAGCAAAACCAGGGCUGGAAGGACUGGACAACCUGGGGAGUAGAAAAGAGUUUCUACUGGAAGAAAACUAGUGAUGGGAAUAUUUGAAAAACUCAGGAUAAAAUGUGGUUUCUUCUAGCAGGUCCCAGGCCAUCUUCACCAAAGAAACUCUUGUGCUUCCAUUUUCUCUUCUUCCCUCUCCAGUGCCAAUCCUAGAGUGCCAAAAGCUAUAGGAAGUAAGCUGCGUGGGGAGAGCAGAAAAGGGACAAAAGCCAUCAGAUGCUUUUUCUGGAAGAUGCUGGCUGCCAAACAGUGGCCUCAACUGUCAGAGAAGGAGAGGAAGUAUUACCUUAGAAUAAGGAUGAAAGUAUUGAUUAAUAUUUUGGAGUCCAAGAUGGCCGAAUAGGAACAGCUUGAGUCUACAGCUCCCAGCGUGAGCAAUGCAGAAGAUGGGUGAUUUCUGCAUUUCCAAAUGAGGUAUCAGGUUCAUCUCACUGGGGCUUGUAGGACAGUGGGGGCAGGACAGUGGGUGCAGCCCACUGAGCGAGAGCCAAAGUAGGGUGAGGUAUCUCCUCACCCGGGAAGCAUAAAGGGUCAGGGAAUUCCCUUUCCUAGCCAAGGGAAGCAGUGACGGAUGGCACCUGGAAAAUCGGGUCACUCCCACCCUAAUACUGUGCUUUUCCAAUGGUCUUAGCAAAUGGCACACCAGGUUAUACUCCGCACCUGGCUCGGAGGGUCCCACGCCCACAGAGCCUCACUCAUUGCUAGCACAGCAGUCUGAGAUCGAUCUGCAAGGCAGCAGUGAGUCUGGGGAAGGGGUGCCCGCCAUUGCUGAGGCUUGAGUAGGUAAACAAAGCGGCCAGGAAGCUCGAACUGGGUGGAGCCCAUGACAGCUGAAUGAGGCCUCCGUGCUUCUGUAGACUCCACCUCUGGGGGCAGGGCAUAGCCAAAAGGCAGACUUAAAUGUCCCUGUCUGACAGCUUUGAAGAGAGUAGUGGUUCUCCCAACACAGAGUCUGAGAUCUGAGAAUGGAUAGACAGCCCCCUCAAGUGGGUACCUGACCCCCGAGUAGCCUAACUGGGAGGCACCCUCCAGUAGGGGCAGACUGACACCUCACACAGCCGGGUACCCCGCUGAGAUGAAGCUUCCAGGGGAACAAUCAGGCAGCAACGUUUGCUGUUCAGCAAUAUUUGCUGUUCUGCAGCCACCACUGCUGAUACCCAGGCGAACAGGAUUUGGAGUGGACCUCCAGCAAACUCCAAAAGACCUGCA
Molecule: long non-coding RNA, 5862 nt
Filed under: Homo sapiens (human)
Lineage: Eukaryota; Metazoa; Chordata; Mammalia; Primates; Hominidae
Description: HSALNT0046644
Source: RNAcentral